RNAcentral lists this small RNA (680 nucleotides) under Pongo abelii (Sumatran orangutan). RNAcentral describes it as "processed transcript". The record is from RNAcentral. Lineage: Eukaryota; Metazoa; Chordata; Mammalia; Primates; Hominidae.
UAGGAAAUCAGUCAGCCCCGAAGCAGUAGUUAAGCCGGAGGGCUCGGAAGAACGGCACCUUUUCUUUCUCGAAAAAGUUAUAUGGGGGCUGAAUGAGCUUCUGGAGGCUUGUUUACCGUCUUUUAUUGUCACACAGGAAAAGAAACUGCCUUGUCUCCCUUCCGGGAAUUCUCUAAGACUGUUCUUACGUCUGUUGCUAGAUUAUCGUCCAAAAGUGUUAAUGCCCAAGUGACUGACAUCAACUCCAAGGGACUGGAAUUGAGGAAGACUGUUACUACAGUUGAGACUCAGAACUUGGAAGGCCUGCAUCAUGAUGGCCAAUUCUGCCAUAAGCCCUGUCCUCCAGAUGUGAACAUGGAAUCGUCAAGGAAUGCACACUCACCAGCAACACCAAAUGCAAAGAGGAAGGAUCCAGAUCUAACUUGUGGUGGUUGUGUCUUCUUCUUCUUUUCCCAAUUCUACUAAUUGUUUGGGUGAAGAGAAAGGAAGUACAGAAAGCAUGCAGAAAGCACAGAAAGGAAAACCAAGGUCCUCAAGAAUCUCCAACCUUAAAUCCUGAAACAGUGGCAAUAAAUUUAUCUGAUGUUGACUUGAGUAAAUAUAUCACCACUGUUGCUGGAGUCAUGACACUAAGUCAAGUUAAAAGCUUUGUUCGAAAGAAUGGUGUCAAUGAAGCCAAA